This 395-nucleotide ribosomal RNA is filed under the name uncultured bacterium. RNAcentral's name for it is "bacterial SSU rRNA". It matches the Rfam family "Bacterial small subunit ribosomal RNA", at positions 355 to 767 of the family's 1533-position model. The record is from RNAcentral.
UAGGGAAUAUUAGUAAUGGGCGAAAGCCUGAACUAGCAACGCCGCGUGUGCGAAGAAGGCCUUCGGGUUGUAAAGCACUUUUUGAGAGGAUGAGGAAGGACGGUACUCUCAGAAUAAGUCUCGGCUAACUACGUGCCAGCAGCCGCGGUAACACGUAGGAGGCAAACGUUAUCCGGAUUUACUGGGCGUAAAGCGCGUGUAGGUGGUUUGGUAAGUAGGGCGUGAAAGCUCCUGGCUCAACUGGGAGAGGCCGUUCUAAACUGCCGAACUAGAGGAUGGUAGAGCGAUGUGGAAUUCCGGGUGUAGCGGUGUAAUGCGCAGAUAUCCGGAGUAACACCAGUGGCGAAAGCGGCCUCCUGGACCAUUCCUGACACUCAGACGCGAAAGCUAGGGUA